Molecule: long non-coding RNA, 1127 nt
Filed under: Canis lupus familiaris (dog)
Lineage: Eukaryota; Metazoa; Chordata; Mammalia; Carnivora; Canidae
Description: lncRNA (ENSCAFG00000057290.1, ENSCAFG00845017724.1)
Source: RNAcentral
CGCAGUGGGUCAGGAGAGCCCGGAAGCGGCGGCAUGAGGUGCGGGGGAGCCGGCGGGAUCACGCCCUGGCGCCGUCGCGUCGCUCCCUGGUCGCCCACGUGCCGCCGAGCCGGCUAGUCAGACAGGGAGGCCUGGAGGUAGCCCGCGGUGAGGCGCCGUUUGCUGAGCUUCUCAGCUCCCUUUUGGAGAGCGGGACGGAAGAGAAAGCUUCGUCGCUCUGCCGUUACCCCCGGAGAGGCCUAGACGACCUGGAAGACCCCCGUCUUCCCUGAGACUGUUUUACAACCGGAAGUGAAGGAGCAGCCUCCGUCGCCAGGUUCGCUUCCCGACUCCGCUGACAGUGGGAACUUGAGCGCCGCGUUGUGUCCGUGAAAUGGAAAAGGAGGCCACGUUUUCACGAGACGCGAGCGUAGCGUGUACUUUUUCAAGCCUACAAGAGAUUUGCUUGGACCUGUCACUGGAUGUCACUUUUAUCCUGAUUGGGAGAAUCGAUCAAGAUGAUUUUCUAGAGUAGCCUGUUGUGAAGUGAAGAGCCUAAUAGGAAAAGGUCCUAACUGCUUAUUUUUCCUGCAAAAUGUGACCUUCAUCAGGGUCAUAGUCCCUGAGAACACAAAGAUAAAUGCCAACAUCCUUUUAUCUUUUGAGAGAGGGUGAUCUGCUCAGUGUCCAGGUACUAAUUAAAUUACAAAAUGUAAAUAGAAUUUAAUUGGUGGAAACUCAGAGGAAACUCUAUCCUAAACAAAUCUAGAUUUUUUGAUGAAUUAGCUUGGUGGGAUAAAAAGAAAGAGUAAAUAGGAUUUAGGUUCAGAUUCCUCUAGGUUAGAUUUGCUGUGUUGUUACACUCAAAUGAAUAACUUGAAGAAGUGUAUAAUAAAGAGAGAAUGUCAUUUGGGGACUGAGAACAUUUGGGAGGAGUAAGCAAGGGUUGUGAAUGAACAUUUAAUGUAUCCUUUGUUAUCUGACGUUCUCAUUGGACAAAUUUUGAUUUGGGAUUAAAUAUUUUUUUUAAGAUUUUAUUUAUUAUUCAUGAGAGACACAGAGAGAGAGAGAGAGGCAGAGACACAGGCAGAGAGAGAAGCAGGCUCCACGCAGGGAGCCCGAUGUGGGAUUCGAUCCCGGGGCUCCAG